Molecule: ribosomal RNA, 1080 nt
Filed under: marine metagenome
Description: bacterial LSU rRNA
Rfam family: Bacterial large subunit ribosomal RNA
Source: RNAcentral
CAGCCAUCCUUUAAAGAAAGCGUAACAGCUCACUGGUCUAAUUAAGAGAUCCUGCACCGAAAAUGUAACGGGGCUCAAAUCAUUUACCGAAGCUUUGACAAUUACUUUUAGUAAUUGGGUAGCGGAGCGUUCUGUAAGCCUGCGAAGGUGAUGCGUAAGCAUUGCUGGAGGUAUCAGAAGUGCGAAUGCUGACAUGAGUAACGAUAAGAAAUGUGAAAGACAUUUCCGCCGAAAUCCUAAGGUUUCCUGCGUAAAGCUAAUCUGCGCAGGGUUAGUCGGCCCCUAAGGCGAGGGCGAAAGCCGUAGUCGAUGGGAAGCAGGUUAAUAUUCCUACACCAGCUGGUAGUGACGGAUGAAGUAAAUUGUGAGUUCUUACUGGAUUGAACUUGCUGUGAAUUUGUCCCUGGAAAUAGCUCCAGCAUAAGACCGUACCAAAACCGACACAGGUAGGAGGGUAGAGUAUACCAAGGCGCUUGAGAGAACUAUGUUGAAGGAACUCGGCAAAUUACACUUGUAACUUCGGGAUAAAAGUGACCUGCUAUUGGGCAACCAGUAGGAGGUGGCACAGAAGAGGGGGUAGCGACUGUUUACUAAAAACAUAGCACUAUGCAAAGUCGAAAGACGACGUAUAUGGUGUGACGCCUGCCCGGUGCCGGAAGGUUAAUAGGAGGGGUGCAAGCCCUGAAUUGAAGCCCCGGUGAACGGCGGCCGUAACUAUAACGGUCCUAAGGUAGCGAAAUUCCUUGUCGGGUAAGUUCCGACCUGCACGAAUGGCGUAACGAUUUCCCCACUGUCUCCAACAUAGACUCAGUGAAAUUGAAUUCUCGGUUAAGAUGCCGAGUAACCGUGGUUAGACGGAAAGACCCCGUGCACCUUUACUGCAGCUUUGUAUUGGUAUUAGGGAACAGAUGUGUAGCAUAGGUGGGAGACUUUGAAGGAGUGGCGCUAGCCAUUCUGGAGUCACUAGUGAAAUACCACUCUUCUGUUCCUUGAUGCCUAACCAUACACCGUUAUCCGGUGUUGGGACCAUGCAUGGUGGGCAGUUUGACUGGGGCGGUCGCCUCCCAAAGAGUAACGGAG